This 116-nucleotide ribosomal RNA is filed under the name Escherichia coli. RNAcentral also lists the same sequence under 1 other name. The record is from RNAcentral. Lineage: Bacteria; Pseudomonadati; Pseudomonadota; Gammaproteobacteria; Enterobacterales; Enterobacteriaceae.
CCGGGCGGCAGUAGCGCGGUGGUCCCACCUGACCCCAUGCCGAACUCAGAAGUGAAACGCCGUAGCGCCGAUGGUAGUGUGGGGUCUCCCCAUGCGAGAGUAGGGAACUGCCAGGC